UAUAUGUCUACUGGGCUAUAAGAUAUUCCUGGAGCGUGGAAGCCAGAAACAGCAGCAGGACUUUGCCGGAUUGCUCACUCACUCUUAAUGAGCCGAUGAGUCUCUAAUUAACAGGUAAAAUGGCGGUCAGGAUCUUCACACGCUUCCUAACAGAAGGUCUACCUUUAGAAACACUGAUGAUCAUUCAUGCUCUUCCUUUAUAACUAACGGUCUGGUUUAACAACACUGUAAACUAACUGCAUUGUUCAACAUAAUAACGCUCCAAAUCUUCAUUAUUCCCCAAUAUCUAUAUAAAUACACUGACCUACCAUAGAGCGCUACAUUCUCUUGUCGCCAUUUUACACAGCAGCGCCUCUUCUCCUCCUCCUCCUCCUCCUCUCCUGCAGGUUUUUCCUGCACUCACGUGACUGAAAUACUGUGCACCGAUCGGCUAGGUAUCACCCCAGACUCAAUUACCUGGAUGCUAAACUAGUAAAAAAUUGCAAACUGAAUUCCAUGAAUUGUUGUUGUUUUUGUGCGUGAUAUCUAAAACCGAAUCUAAAUUUUCGAACGCUGAAAAUAUUUGAAUAUAGAUGCGUGAUUAGUUUUUUUUAAAUUCCCCCCAAAAAAACAAAAAAAAUUGUUUAUUACCGAAUAAUAUAUAUCGGUGAUAUGAAAUGUAAAGCUUUGUAAAAUUCCAAUCUUGUGCUUUUCAGGUUUUUACACUUUGCGAUUUCUCUUUACCAUGACAAGCAGCGAUUUAUUUACAAUUUAUUAUCUUCGAGAGAGAGAGAGAGAGGGGAAAAGAGAAGCUGCAGAGGGAAGGACUGUUUAUAGCUGCUGUAACUUAAACGGACGCUCCACAACAUUAAAUGUAACUAUAAACAUAUAUAUCGUGUGUCGUCCUUUUAAAUUUUUUUAAUGGUAAUCGUUGGUAAUUUGCUGCGAUGUUCACAAGAAUAAAUACGCUGCUCUCAUAGAGAUCAAACAACUGCAAACAUUUUGAAACUUUCUUAAAUAUAGGUGUGCAACAAUUAUUUCAAUUAUUCAAGUUGUCAAUACUAUGUGCUGCCUCCCUCUGCCAAGAUAACAGCGCCGAGUCUUCUCCUAUGACGCCUGAUGAGAUCGGAGAAUACGCGGCGAGGGAUCUGAGAGCGUUCCUCCGUACAGAACCUCUCCAGACCCUUCACACUGCGAGGUAUUUACCGAGGGUGGCAAUAUUAACGGAGGGCACUCUAUAUAUAUUCAUCUCUUAAACAAAACACAGGUCUCGGCUGAAAACAUUUGCAAGUGUGGACACCGAUUAACGUUCGACAUUCCAGACGUUCCAGAAAAAUAACAGGAAUAAGAAUAGAAAACAUGCUGACAAGAUGUGCCGUUAGAGGAAAAUGAUCAAUGACGGGGAGGCGUGAUGCGUGAACGCUAAUCAGACUUCCUGUAAACGCCGUGAAGCCGAUUAGUUUCCUAUAAUAUCACAUCCAGAGUGUGUGUAUAUAACAUUUUCUAACGAAUCACAUCGUACCUUUGAUAUAUUUACAGUUACAUUUACAUGCCGAAUCUGCAUUUGCAGCUGCGCUACCGUCAGAGCUGCUGUUACAGGAAAUGAGUCAACGCCUUCUGACCAAUCCACAAAACACAAAAGCGCUGUAUAACUACGCAGUAAAACGUGUCGUUUCAACAGAAACCUGACGCGGGAGACAACUUUAUAUUACGCACAGAGGGACUGGUGUUGUGAAGUUUUGCCAUCCAGCGACAGAAAUAAUCUCAUGUAGAAACAAACACAACAGAGGGUUCGGUGUCUAGGAUCUAGAAUUUUGCGGCAAAACGUUAAGCGUAUCACUCGAUGCUCCACUUUUACAAAAGAAUUCAUUAAAACAGCGAUGCGUGUGUUGAGCACGUUACGCGUCCUCAUUUUUGUGUUUGAUGAAGCAUGAAGUAAGCUGUCAGAAACAUCCUGGGACAAGGCCACAGCCGGAGUGAUCGUGUAACCUGGGGACAGUGGAACGAUGCAGAUUUGGUGAGAAACCCCUCAGAAAUGAGUGUUUUGCUGAGUCUGGAUAAAGUCUGUGUGCCCUGAUUUGGAUAUUAAACAGUACUCACACAAAGGCCAUGAGGACGAGUCCUGUUUGUUCCUUCCUGCAGAACAACAGUGACAUGUUUUUGCAGCUGUAAAAGUGAGACUGAUGCUUUAGAAGAAGUUGAGGAUGGAUGCACUUACUUGUCAGAACGAGCUGAAGGCGUGAGAUGAGCAGAAAACUCAACCCUGACCAGUCUUCUCCUGGUGAGAUUCGUUUUCUGGCCACAGCGUUUGGCCCCGCCUCCCGGAAGA
Long non-coding RNA from Ictalurus punctatus (channel catfish), 2308 nucleotides. NCBI's taxonomy places the organism in Eukaryota, Metazoa, Chordata, Actinopteri, Siluriformes, Ictaluridae. The record is from Ensembl.